AUAUAUGAACUGUAGAGAUUGAUCAAAAUAGUUUUUAUCAAAAUAGGUUUGAUCAAUCUCCACAAUUUUAUGUAU
MicroRNA precursor from Chlorocebus sabaeus (green monkey), 75 nucleotides. The record is from Ensembl. Lineage: Eukaryota; Metazoa; Chordata; Mammalia; Primates; Cercopithecidae.